CUCCAGACAAAGCAAGCUUGGCUUGACUGCAGGGGGAAGGGAAGGCAAGAGGAGAGCCUUUUGGCACGCUCAGAGCCGUGUUUUUGAGCCAUCCCCUGUGGCCACGUGGACGUUUCCUUCUGACAGCAAGAACAGAGACUGGUGCAGCUUCUGGUAUCCAGGAGCUUUAUAACAAAUCACCACAAGUCACAGAACUUGUUGUAAAGCGGAGGCUUCGUGUUUCACUCGUUACCGUGGCUCCAAACGUCAAAGCAGCGAGAACUUCCAGCAUCAUUGUCACAGUGCUGUUCCCUGGGAGGAGAAAAUGCCAUGGGUCUGCUGGGAAUGACAAACAAUGCUGGCACAGGGAGAGGCAACAGGGCUGAAAUCAAAAUGCUUGUGUUUAUAAUUGCUUUUACCAUGGUCCCUGGAAGGCUCCCGCGGCAGACGCAGGGUCCUGUAGGGUGAGGGGCUGAGCAGGAAUAGAACAGGGCAUAAUCCCAGUCCCCAAAGGGUUUGAGGGCUGUCAGGCUCCUCCACCAGCCAGACUGACACCACCACGCUUGGAGACCAUGUCACAGACAGACACAGAUUUUAAUUGGGAAAACAAAAAAAAAAAAGAAAAAAAAAAGAAAGAAAAGAAAUUUAUAGACUUCUUUUUCAGCUGCAAAUUAAAUUUCUUCUGUCUUGUCAACGGCUUUUGGAUGGCCACUGCGGAAGGAUCUUUUUGGUGAGACAAAAGGGCUGCAGAAAUAAUAGAAAUGAACGUCUGCAGCUGAAGAGCUUGACUGAGACUUGAAAAGUUUGCUUUGGGUGGCAGCCAGGUCCUGCUGAGGUCUGCAGGAGUUUUGCUCUUGGCCUCAGUGGGGCCGAGCUUUCACCCUUGGAGAUCACGUCCUGAGGAGAAUUUAGUCUAAAAUAAUUCUCAAAACUUGUAUUGUUUGACUCCCAUCCAGGGGUUUUUUUGGAGGCUCAGUGCUUUGUGCUUCUCAUUGACUCCGAUUGCUCCCCUUGGCAUCUUCCAAGGAUGAGCCCUCAUCAGAGGCUCAGGAGGCUCAAGGGAGGGUCAGAUGUGAGCAGGCCUCAAUCUGGGUUCCUAAACCAACAGAUUCUUUAAUCUGGGAAGUGUAGGACUUGUUGGGUGUGUGCUGAAGCCACACAUUUUUGGAGGGAGCCAUAGCACGUGAGAGAGCCACACCACGGUCACAGCCAGGACCUGGUGGCGUCAUCGGGGGAUCCUUCCCUCCCCUCUGCCCAUUGCCCAUCAAGGCUUUUGGCUUUUGGAAGAGGAAAGAGGGAAAGGUAAAG
Molecule: long non-coding RNA, 1287 nt
Filed under: Parus major (Great Tit)
Lineage: Eukaryota; Metazoa; Chordata; Aves; Passeriformes; Paridae
Description: lncRNA (ENSPMJG00000015380.1)
Source: RNAcentral